Molecule: ribosomal RNA, 403 nt
Filed under: uncultured bacterium
Lineage: Bacteria
Description: partial 16S ribosomal RNA
Rfam family: Bacterial small subunit ribosomal RNA
Source: RNAcentral
AUUGAACGCUGGCGGCAGGCCUAACACAUGCAAGUCGAGCGAGCGGCGGACGGGUGAGUAAUGUAUGGGGACUGCCCGAUAGAGGGGGAUAACUACUGGAAACGGUGGCUAAUACCGCCAACUAUCGGAUAACCCAUAUGGGAUUAGAUAGUAGGGGGGGUAAAGGCUCACCUAGGCGACGAUCUCUAGCCGGUCGGAGAGGAUGAUCAGCAACACUGGGACUGAGACACGGCCCAGACUCGUACGGAGGCAGCAGUGGGGAAUAUUGCCCAAUGGGCGCAAGCCUGCUACAGCCAUGCCGCGUGUAUGAAGAAGGCCUUAGGGUUGUAAAGUCCUUUCAUCGGGGAGGCGUUACCCGAAGAAGAAGCACCGGCUAACUCCGUGCCAGCAGCCGCGGUAAUAC